GGUAUGAAUGGUUAAACGAGAAAUAGACUUUUUUUGUUAUAUAAAUUGAAUUUAAUUUUUUAGUGAAAAAGCUAAAAUUAUUCAGAAAGACGAGAAGACCCUAUAGAGUUUUAUGUUUUAGAACUAUAUCUCCUAAUAGAUUUUUAUGGAUUAGUAGUUUUCGAUCAUUUUGUUGGGGCGACAUUAAGAUAUAAGAAACUCUUUAUUUUAAAAAUUUUUAUAAAAAUAUUUUUUGAUCCUUAAAAAAAGAUUAAAAGAAAAAAUUACCUUAGGGAUAACAGCGUAAUCUUUUUUGAGAGUUCUAAUCGACAAAAAGGUUUGCGACCU
Molecule: ribosomal RNA, 327 nt
Filed under: Acasta crucibasis
Lineage: Eukaryota; Metazoa; Arthropoda; Thecostraca; Balanomorpha; Balanidae
Description: partial large subunit ribosomal RNA
Rfam family: Bacterial large subunit ribosomal RNA (bases 58-327)
Source: RNAcentral